Long non-coding RNA from Oncorhynchus tshawytscha (Chinook salmon), 599 nucleotides. The record is from Ensembl. Lineage: Eukaryota; Metazoa; Chordata; Actinopteri; Salmoniformes; Salmonidae.
GGAGGAGGAACAGGAGAAGAGAUGAUUGAAAGCCAGGGAGCAGCCAGAGGUCCCGACAUGUUUUCAGACACAGGGAGCGUAGAAUAUUGUAGCUCUAUGAUAGCUCCUAGAGAGGGAUCGGGCCGUCUUUCCCAAGCAUAAGCAACACGCAUCAAACCUCUAUUCUCCAUAUCUAGCAUCAUACUUCUGCCUCUUGCCUCUGUGUUCAAGAUGUAUGAUUAUUUUUAACUUCUUAUUUCUGCUUCCUGCCUCCAUGUUCGAGUUUUUCAUGGUUAUUUUGUUUUUGGGUGGCUGCUUGUUAGUUAGCCACCUCUUUCCGCCGUCCAGUAGGAGGAUAUAGAUGAAAGGCAGGCAGAAUGCUCGGUAGAGGGAUGCCGUCUACUUAAAGGUCAUUUAUUUCCUCUGUCACUUUGUUAGGGCGAGGGAGGAAAAGACGAAACGCAGUGUUUUUAUGACCCCCAGUGUUGGUAGGCGGCUUCCUAGGAAGAAUAUGCUUCUUCUUCUCUGUUUAAUUCAUGUCCUCGGAGGUGUUGUGUUAGGUGUUGUGUUAGGUGUUGUGUUAGGUGUUGUGUUAGGUGUUGUGUUAGGUGUUAUGUUAG